This 826-nucleotide ribosomal RNA is filed under the name Rhodobacteraceae bacterium D1. RNAcentral describes it as "bacterial SSU rRNA". It matches the Rfam family "Bacterial small subunit ribosomal RNA", at positions 21 to 900 of the family's 1533-position model. Lineage: Bacteria; Pseudomonadati; Pseudomonadota; Alphaproteobacteria; Rhodobacterales; Paracoccaceae. The record is from RNAcentral.
UCCUCAGACGAACGCUGCGCAGCCUAACACAUGCAACUCGAGCGCACCUUCGGGCGAGCGGCGGACGGGUUAGUAACGCGUGGGAAUGUACCCAGAUCUACGGAAUAGCCUCGGGAAACUGAGAGUAAUACCGUAUACCGCCUUCGGGGGAAAGAUUUAUCGGAUUUGGAUCAGCCCGCGUUAGAUUAGAUAGUUGGUGGGGUAAUGGCCUACCAAGUCUACGAUCUAUAGCUGGUUUUAGAGGAUGAUCAGCAACACUGGGACUGAGACACGGCCCAGACUCCUACGGGAGGCAGCAGUGGGGAAUCUUAGACAAUGGGCGCAAGCCUGAUCUAGCCAUGCCGCGUGUGUGAUGAAGGCCUUAGGGUCGUAAAGCACUUUCGCCAGAGAUGAUAAUGACAGUAUCUGGUAAAGAAACCCCGGCUAACUCCGUGCCAGCAGCCGCGGUAAUACGGAGGGGGUUAGCGUUGUUCGGAAUUACUGGGCGUAAAGCGYRCGUAGGCGGACUGGAAAGUAUGGGGUGAAAUCCCGGGGCUCAACCCCGGAACUGCCUCAUAAACUAUCAGUCUAGAGUUCGAGAGAGGUGAGUGGAAUUCCGAGUGUAGAGGUGAAAUUCGUAGAUAUUCGGAGGAACACCAGUGGCGAAGGCGGCUCACUGGCUCGAUACUGACGCUGAGGUGCGAAAGUGUGGGGAGCAAACAGGAUUAGAUACCCUGGUAGUCCACACCGUAAACGAUGAAUGCCAGUCGUCGGGUAGCAUGCUAUUCGGUGACACACCUAACGGAUUAAGCAUUCCGCCUGGGGAGUACGGUCGCAAGAUUAAAAC